RNAcentral lists this ribosomal RNA (465 nucleotides) under uncultured bacterium. RNAcentral's name for it is "partial 16S ribosomal RNA". It matches the Rfam family "Bacterial small subunit ribosomal RNA", at positions 338 to 795 of the family's 1533-position model. The record is from RNAcentral.
CCUACGGGAGGCAGCAGGAGGGAAUCUUACACAAUGGGCGAAAGCCUGAUGGAGCAACGCCGCGUGGGUGAAGAAGGUCUUCGGAUCGUAAAACCCUGUUGUUAGAGAAGAAAGUGCGUGUGAGUAACUGUUCACGUCUCGACGGUAUCUAACCAGAAAGCCACGGCUAACUACGUGCCAGCAGCCGCGGCAAUACGUAGGUGGCAAGCGUUAUCCGGAUUUAUUGGGCGUAAAGGGAACGUAGGCGGUCGUUUAAGUCUGAUGUGAAAGCCUUCGGCUUAACCGGGGUAGUGCAUUGGAAACUGGGAGACUUGAGUGCAGGAGAGGGGAGUGGAACUCGAUGUGUAGCGGUGAAAUGCGUAGAUAUAAGGAAGAACACCAGUGGCGAAGGCGGCUCUCUGGACUGUAACUGACGCUGAGGUUCGAAAGCGUGGGUAGCAAACAGGAUUAGAUACCCCAGUAGUC